GGGUGCGGACGUUCCACUGGUAACAAGUUCUGGAUGUCGUUGGGUCUGCUGGUGGUAGCCACUACCAACUGCGCUGAUAACACUAGUGCCAAGAACCUCUACACCAUCUCCCUGAAGGGAGUCAAGGUGCGCCUGAACAGGCUCCCUUCUGCCUAUGUUGAUGACAUGGUUAUGGCAACUGUUAAGAAGGGAAAGCCUGACUUGAGGAAGAAGGUCAUGCCGGCUGUCAUUCUGAGGCAGCGUAAGCCAUGGUGUCGAAAGGACGGUGUCUUCAUGUACUUUGAAGGUACUGCCAAGUUCUUAUGA
RNAcentral lists this ribosomal RNA (306 nucleotides) under Triticum aestivum (bread wheat). RNAcentral's name for it is "partial small subunit ribosomal RNA". The record is from RNAcentral. Lineage: Eukaryota; Viridiplantae; Streptophyta; Magnoliopsida; Poales; Poaceae.